Molecule: transfer RNA, 72 nt
Filed under: Bufoniceps laungwalaensis
Lineage: Eukaryota; Metazoa; Chordata; Lepidosauria; Squamata; Agamidae
Description: tRNA-Gln
Rfam family: tRNA
About the family: Transfer RNA (tRNA) molecules are approximately 80 nucleotides in length. Their secondary structure includes four short double-helical elements and three loops (D, anti-codon, and T loops).
Source: RNAcentral
UAGUGAGUAGUAUAAGUGGAAAUACGGAAAGUUUUGGAUUUUCUGAUGGGGGUUCAAGUCCUCUUUCUCUAG